RNAcentral lists this ribosomal RNA (661 nucleotides) under uncultured marine bacterium. RNAcentral's name for it is "bacterial SSU rRNA". It matches the Rfam family "Bacterial small subunit ribosomal RNA", at positions 822 to 1482 of the family's 1533-position model. The record is from RNAcentral.
GUUGGGGGGCUUGACCCCUUAGUGGCGAAGCUAACGCGAUAAGUAGACCGCCUGGGGAGUACGGUCGCAAGAUUAAAACUCAAAUGAAUUGACGGGGGCCCGCACAAGCGGUGGAGCAUGUGGUUUAAUUCGAUGCAACGCGAAAAACCUUACCAGGCCUUGACAUCCUGAGAAUUCGGUAGAGAUACCUUAGUGCCUUCGGGAACUCAAUGACAGGUGUUGCAUGGCUGUCGUCAGCUCGUGUCGUGAGAUGUUGGGUUAAGUCCCGUAACGAGCGCAACCCUUAUCCUUAUUUGCCAGCACGUAAUGGUGGGAACUCUAAGGAGACUGCCGGUGACAAACCGGAGGAAGGAGAGGAUGACGUCAAGUCAUCAUGGCCCUUACGGCCUGGGCUACACACGUGCUACAAUGGAAAGUACAGAGGGCCGCAAUGCCGCGAGGUGGAGCAAAUCCCAGAAAACUUUUCGUAGUCCGGAUCGGAGUCUGCAACUCGACUCCGUGAAGUCGGAAUCGCUAGUAAUCGCGAAUCAGCAUAUCGCGGUGAAUACGUUCCCGGGCCUUGUACACACCGCCCGUCACAUCAUGGGAGUGGGUUGCACCAGAAGUAGCUAGUUUAACCUUCGGGAGAACGGUUACCACGGUGUGAUUCAUGACUGGGAUG